Molecule: long non-coding RNA, 266 nt
Filed under: Lathyrus oleraceus (garden pea)
Lineage: Eukaryota; Viridiplantae; Streptophyta; Magnoliopsida; Fabales; Fabaceae
Description: Pisum sativum (pea) long non-coding RNA (PSAT_LNC041900)
Source: RNAcentral
UCGUCUUUAGCUUCAAGAAUCGGAGGUUUAUUUUUGUACCAGAAUCGAAGCCUCCAUUUGGAGCAGGUUCUUAUUUAUCUCUUUUAUUUUUUUUAUUUUCUGGAUCGCUUUUAUUUUAUUUAUUUUCCACACUCGCUUUAUUUUAUUUAAUUACCGCAUCACUUUUAUUUUAUUUAUUUCCUGCACUCGCUUUUACUUUAUUUAUUUUCUUCACUUGCUUGACUUUAUUUAUUUUCCACACUCGCUUUACUUUAUUUACUUUACGC